RNAcentral lists this ribosomal RNA (268 nucleotides) under uncultured prokaryote. RNAcentral describes it as "partial 16S ribosomal RNA". It matches the Rfam family "Bacterial small subunit ribosomal RNA", at positions 509 to 776 of the family's 1533-position model. The record is from RNAcentral.
CAGCAGCCGCGGUAAUACGGGGGGGGUAAGCGUUGUUCGGAAUUACUGGGCGUAAAGGGCUCGUAGGCGGCCAACUAAGUCAUACGUGAAAUCCCUCAGCUUAACUGGGGAACUGCGUGUGAUACUGGAUGGCUUGGAUUUGGGAGAGGGAUGCGGAAUUCCAGGUGUAGCGGUGAAAUGCGUAGAUAUCUGGAGGAACACCGGUGGCGAAGGCGGCAUCCUGGACCAAUAUUGACGCUGAGGAGCGAAAGCCAGGGGAGCAAACGGG